This 22-nucleotide microRNA is filed under the name Nicotiana tabacum (common tobacco). RNAcentral describes it as "nta-miR6159". The record is from miRBase by way of RNAcentral. Lineage: Eukaryota; Viridiplantae; Streptophyta; Magnoliopsida; Solanales; Solanaceae.
UAGCAUAGAAUUCUCGCACCUA